CCACCGGCCUUUCUCAAGGCCACAAAGCUUGAUGUGUCAUUAUGCCU
This is a non-coding RNA of Hypsibius dujardini, 47 nucleotides long. The record is from Rfam. Lineage: Eukaryota; Metazoa; Tardigrada; Eutardigrada; Parachela; Hypsibiidae.